UGGUGGAGUGAUUUGUCUGGUUAAUUCCGUUAACAAACGAGACCUUAACCUGCUAAAUAGUCGCAAGAACUUAGGUUCUUGAUAGGCUUCUUAGAGGGACUUUGCGGGAUAACCGCAAGGAAGUUUGAGGCAAUAACA
Molecule: ribosomal RNA, 138 nt
Filed under: uncultured eukaryote
Lineage: Eukaryota
Description: partial 18S ribosomal RNA
Rfam family: Eukaryotic small subunit ribosomal RNA
Source: RNAcentral